Molecule: transfer RNA, 55 nt
Filed under: Cavia porcellus (domestic guinea pig)
Lineage: Eukaryota; Metazoa; Chordata; Mammalia; Rodentia; Caviidae
Rfam family: tRNA
About the family: Transfer RNA (tRNA) molecules are approximately 80 nucleotides in length.
Source: Rfam by way of RNAcentral
GCUCAGUGGUAGAGCACUUGUCUCGCAUGCAUGAAGUCCUGGAUUAAAUUUCCAG